Long non-coding RNA from Psammomys obesus (fat sand rat), 562 nucleotides. RefSeq lists it as uncharacterized. NCBI's taxonomy places the organism in Eukaryota, Metazoa, Chordata, Mammalia, Rodentia, Muridae. The transcript is spliced from 3 exons. The record is from RefSeq and is a predicted model, not a curated record.
AUAUGUGUCCUCCCGCCUGGACCAAGUAGCUAUGCUGGCUCCUGGUGCCCAUGGAGGCUCACUGUCCUCACUUACAGUUUAGUUACUCCCCUGUCCCGCUUUUUGUCAGCUUCUCCACUGUCAUGAAGAACUCAAAGCCUGUUGACCAUUUGAAAGGCUAUUCUCCUGGAUACCACCACCCUGACCAGUGAUAGCCCAGAGCUUCAGUGCUUCUCUGGACAAGGACAAAAGGUUUAAUCCCAACAUUAUCCUUUGAUUCCUGGACCCAGGUUCCCGAGACACAGUCCAGAAUUCGGCCGUCGUGACUGGGUCUGCCACAUUCUGCAGGUCUGAGAUGCUCCUCCCACCUUCCUGUGCCCUUCCAACUGCUGAAGACAGAAUGCCCUUGGAUAAAAAGCCCGCUGGAAUAUUUGGCUGGAUAAUAGGAAAAUGGACAGCCUACUCAUUUAGUUGCAUUCUGGAGAACUUGGGACAUUAAAUCCCUGGUUUCUACACGCCCCAGUCUUGCAGACUGGCCUGAACCGUGGUAAACAAUUUAGACUAGCUUUAGUAUGACAUGAUG